This 497-nucleotide ribosomal RNA is filed under the name uncultured bacterium. RNAcentral's name for it is "partial 16S ribosomal RNA". It matches the Rfam family "Bacterial small subunit ribosomal RNA", at positions 28 to 507 of the family's 1533-position model. The record is from RNAcentral.
GAUGAACGCUGGCGGCGUGCCUAAUACAUGCAAGUCGAGCGAACAGACGAGGAGCUUGCUCCUCUGACGUUAGCGGCGGACGGGUGAGUAACACGUGGAUAACCUACCUAUAAGACUGGGAUAACUUCGGGAAACCGGAGCUAAUACCGGAUAAUAUAUUGAACCGCAUGGUUCAAUAGUGAAAGACGGUUUUGCUGUCACUUAUAGAUGGAUUCGCGCCGCAUUAGCUAGUUGGUAAGGUAACGGCUUACCAAGGCAACGAUGCGUAGCCGACCUGAGAGGGUGAUCGGCCACACUGGAACUGAGACACGGUCCAGACUCCUACGGGAGGCAGCAGUAGGGAAUCUUCCGCAAUGGGCGGAAGCUUGACGGAGCAACGCCGCGUGAGUGAUGAAGGUCUUCGGAUCGUAAAACUCUGUUAUUAGGGAAGAACAAAUGUGUAAGUAACUAUGCACGUCUUGACGGUACCUAAUCAGAAAGCCACGGCUAACUACGUG